RNAcentral lists this long non-coding RNA (5003 nucleotides) under Gallus gallus (chicken). Its description in RNAcentral is "lncRNA (ENSGALG00010007797.1)". The record is from RNAcentral. Lineage: Eukaryota; Metazoa; Chordata; Aves; Galliformes; Phasianidae.
ACUUGUGAGAAAAACAUUUUGAUGGUCUCUUCACCAAGGAAGGCUAAAGAGUGAUGUUUUAUUUUACCUGUGUUGAAGACCGUGCUUCUAUGAGUAGAGACAAUACCUACAUAUCUGGCUGAAAGAUUGGGAUGGAAAAGGAGAUUGACUGGAAAGAUAAGAUUUAGGAACAAAAAGUCAAGCCUGGUAGAUGACAUAGAUACUAGCUUCUUACUGCGUAAACCAAUUGUGAAGAUGCAUUUCUUAACUUAUUAAGUACUCAGAUAACAUGGAGACGAGCAUCACAAGAAAGUCCAUCAAAGUGUUAAGUUUUUGCCUCUAAAGUUCUGCCUUAAUUUAAUUAAUUAAUUAAAGUUCUGCAUUAAUUUAAUUAAUGAUUCCAGGACAGAAGGUUUCAGGACAUCUGCACACUAAGCAGUGGAGAUUAAACCAUUGCUUUCUAUUAGGGAAGAUUUAGAUUGGAUAUAAGAAAGAAUUUUUUUAUAAUAAGGGUGGUGAGGCACUGGAACAGGUUGCCCAGAGUGGUGGUGGAUGCUCCAUCCCUGGAGACAUCCAACAUCAGGCUGGAUGGGGCCCUGAGCAACUCGGUCUAGUUGUAAUGUCCCCAUUCAUUGCAGGGGAGUUAGGCCAAAUGGCCUUGAAGUGUCCCCACCAACUCAAACAAUUCUAUGAUUCUAUGAACCUAGCUGUUCUCUAGGAGAGCACAGUCCGAACAGCUACUGAGGGCUUACCACCCUGAACUAAGGCACGAUGGUUAGGAGACAUCAGAAGUUCUUUUGCUGCUGAAGAUUUACCAUUACCUACAGCUAUGAGUAGGAGCCAGUUUGGGCCCAUGUUUGCGUAGAACUUGUUGAGACACAAGAAAGUACCUUCUUUGUGGUUCCCAUUUAAAAGCAGAAGUGUAAAACAAGCCAAGAGCUCUAAAAACCCAUUUGUUCAGGAGAGUAGCCCAGUGCAAUGAUCAGAGAAGGGCUGCCUUCUGCAGGCACUACUAAAAACCCAGCUAUAGUGAGACUGCUGCCAAGCAUGGGCAUAGCCUGAGUGAGGUCUUGAAACAUUUAGAAGGGGCUUUUGCAAGGUGGACAGUCUGAAGAAAACAUCUCCAUUACUCAGAAGACCACCUGUUUGCAGGAGUUACUGGGAAUCUGGGUACAGAGUCACCCAUGGCCCAUUUGUCCUCUCACCAUUAGUUUGGUGCUGAGGUUCAGCCCUGAGCCACAUAGGUGAUAACAUAACCAAAGGAGAAAGGAAAAACCUCUUUCUUAUAGAGAUGUAUGUUAGUUUCCAGUUCUGAUUAAAUAUAUCCCAGCUGCUAGGAACAGCUGUGAAAGAUUCUUCUCCUUUGCUUUUUUUUCAAGUGUGAUGUAUUCCUCCUCUUCACCAUUGCCUGGUGACGGGGGGGGGGGGAAGAAGAGCCUCAGAUAAAAGCCUUGCUCCAGGGCAAGCAAAGAUCCCAACUGCAGUUUUGCAUAAAUCUGUCACUUGGAUUCUCUGGAGAACAACUGCAAACUUGAAAAAUAGCGUAGUGCAGCAGGCACAGGUGUGGACUCCUCUCUCUCUGUAUAUAUAUAUAUUUCAAAUAAAAGUAGCUGUGAACAACCCCCAGAACAUGACUUGCUUUCACCCAGCUUUCAGCUUUGUUAGUUCUUCUAAAACUAUCCCUGCGUUGAUAAACAUGUUAUUAGUAAACCAGAAAUGAAACGAUAAUGAGAAAAUUGUCCUGUAAAAGAAAAUUGUCCACCAUAAAAUCCACAACGACCAUCCUGCAGUGCUUCUGCUGCUUUCUACUCCCUCUAGGACAAUCUGUGAGGGAGCUUUUGCUCUCUGUUACUUUUAAAUGCAAAUACAUCCAAGAUUUGCUGGGUUUGGCUUGGGGCUGGAAGGGCGGCUUGUGAGGAAGCUCAGUAAUAUCUUUCACCCCAGGGUCAGCUUUGCAUCCCACAGUAAAUUUGGCUGCUUCACUUGAAACAAAGACACAGUGUUGUUCCAUAGACUUUUCUCCUCCAUCCAUGCACUUUCAUCCCCAAGUGCCUUGGCUCCAAGUGGCUGGAGUACAGGGGGCCAGCAGAGGUGGCUGCGUGGGCUGAGCUCAUCCAAGGCUCCCGACAGGCUCCUCUGGCCCCCCAUGCCCUACCUUUGUCCCUAAAUCUUUCAUGUUCUCAUCAAGCAGGAGGGUGUUUGGUGUUUGGUUACUGUCUCCAUUGUAAGGGAGGAAAUUGCUUUUGCAACUGCGGUCCCAGAGGCUGUACUUUUCUUUUGCAAUUAAACCCUUAUCAGACCUCACGCUGCAGUGAUAACGUUGACUGAAUAGGUGUUUGCUGACAGACAUUGACCUGCAGCCUAAAUAAUGUAAGGAAAAUGCUUUUGAGUUUUUUGGCUUUUUUAAAGUCCUUGCCUAGUUCAUGGCUGAAGCCGUAUUUGCAGUAAAUAAAGUGAAAUUAUUUAGGACUGUAUUGGGUACUACUAGCAUCUGUGUCAAAGCCACUCUCUAGGCAUGAUGGGGUGACUUUGUUGUGGGAGCACGAUCUGACAGGGCUGAAUACCAUUUUUUCACCCCAGCACUUAUGGUGAAGAGCCAGAGCACCCUGCUUGCUCUGGCAGCGGGAGAGCUAUAAUCCUACUCAGUCUGAGGAAAUGGUCCAUCCACCUAAAGGGCAGUUUUGCAUUUCAGUGCUGUUGUGUUGAAAGCCGAAUUAAUAACAAGGUUUGGCCAAGCUCUGCAAAAGUUGAAACCUGGCUUCUGGCUCAGUUUCUGUCUGACAAAGAGCAAGAUUUUUAUGUUCCUUUCAGCAGCGUUGCUUCGCAUUGCAGCACGCAAGCUGUGGGUGGCUUCUCUUCAGAUUGAGAAUACCGGUGGGUCUCGUGAGUCAUGGUGGGAGGGUGACAUGGGGUUGGAUUUUAAAAGGUGAAGAGUCAACGUUUGUGAAGCUUCUACAGCCUAUGCAAUUAAUUUGUAACAACAGAGCUAGCAUAAAUCCUACCACUGCUGCGCACAGCAGCACCUGGUGAUGUGGCUGUACGGCUGGGAGAAGUGCCAGAAAAAUAGAGGAAAGAAAUGUCACUUGUAUCUUCGUGAAGGGGAAGAAGGUGUACUUAGGGAACUGCAGGCCUGUCAGCCUCACUAUGAUCCCUGGGAUGGUGAUGGAAAGCCUAAUUCUGGAAAACAUUUCUAAGCACAUGAAGGAGAAGAAAACCUCCAGGAGUAGUCAGCAUGGCAAGUCGCACCUGUCCGAACAGAUAAGCUUCUAUAAGGAAUUCACCAGCCUGAUGGAUGAAGGAGGAGCAGAGGACAUUGUCUUCCCAGUCUUCCUUAAGGCCUUUGACACCGAUCCCCAUAAGGUCCUAGGGCUGAGGAGUCAUGAUGGACAUCAAGAUGAACUUGAGGCAGCAAUGUGCUGUUGAUACUAAGAAGGCUCAUGGUAUUCUUGGCUGAAUUAAGGCAGUUGGCAAAGUGAUGAGUCCUAUAUGGACUGGCAGAUGCAGAGCAUUUUAUGAAGGAUGAAAAAAAUGCAAAGAAAGACAGUAAAACAUAGCUGACUCAGCAAGCUGGGAGUUGGAUUUGUGACACUGGGGUGUAAUUCCUUUCUCUGCCACUGACUUCCUGUAGCACUUUCGAUGGGGUACCAGAGGAUAAAUAAGUAAACGUAUGACUUUUUCUCAUUAUAUCCCAGAUUCCCAUUUGUAAUAUAGAGAUAACAUCAUUUUAUUUGAACACAGUGGUGUAUUAAAGCAGAGAUCCUGGGGUUUCACAGUAACAGAGUCAUAGAGACUAUAUGAAAAAAGCUCGUCUGGUUUUCUGUAGGAAAGACUACUAACAAAGAAUUUAUAACUAUCAAAUCAAGGAAAAGAAAUGCAGCAGUGAAAGGUUCAGAAUUGCUAACUGUGUGUUGAAAGGUUCAGGAAAAUGCCUGGAGUUGUGAGUAGGUGCCAGAGAAUUUAAUUAUGAUAAUAAAACUUCUAGGAAGACGUAAAAAUGCUGGAAUGAUCAAAUCAUGUUUAAUUACGAGGAACAUUUUUUGUCUUGGUAACACAGCACUGUAAGGAAUACAUGUGUUGCCUCCAGAAAUGUUAGGGGCCAGGAUGUCAUUCUUUCAGAAACAAAGCAGACAAGAACUUAAAAAAAAAGAAAAGUCAAAGAAAAGCUAAACCAAACAAAUGCCUCACAGGUCAUGGUAGAGCACCCAGAGCUUUGUAAAGAAGGCCAGGGGAAACUCCCUGAGAAGACACACUCUGCUCAGAGCAUGGAUUGAAGUCAGGUACCCCUUCUCCCCCUUGAGAAAGGAGCCAACAGAAGAAUCAAGAGAAAUGAAAGAGUAAAAGAGGUGGCUGCAAGUGAUACAAUGAGUACCAUAGAGACGACUGCAAAGCUGCUUGGAGUCCUGCUCAACACUCUAUCAAAACCUGUGCAACUCUGUCCACUCUGGGGGAGCUUAGCAAAUGGAAAUGACCACGUGUUUUUAACCAAUAAUCUACAAUAAUCACCAAUAAUCUACACAAAUAAAACUAUUAUUAUUAUUAUUAUUAUUAUUAUUAUUAUUAUUAUUAUUACAAAAAGGGAAACAAGCAAGUGAAGAAGGGGGAAAAAUAAAAUGUAUAAAGCGAGCUUCCACUUAGAGGUUUCAACCUAUGGGUUACAACCUAUGGCUUAAAGAGUUUUUAAUGGGUUGUUUCUUUGUCCUCACAGAACUCAGCGUGUCUAGAAACACAUUUUUUUGCAGCAGGCUUUCUAUAACAUCAGCUUGUUCUCGUGUCUGUGGCUGGUUUAUUGCAGCAAUUAUAAUAAUUGAUCAACUUGUAAACCUGAUUAUAAAGUCUGCUCCCUCAUCUGUUUUCUUCCUUGACUGGCUCUUGCUUUGAAGGCGGCAAGGAUUUACAGUGGGGGCUGUCUGCAGCACCGAUCCCCUCCCUGGCCUUCCAUUAAUGUUGCCUGGUUCAGGAAGAACAGUGUAGCUCCCAGGGAGUGGCUGAGGAAGUCUGGUUACAGAGCCUCCAGCCAUUAACCC